Molecule: long non-coding RNA, 515 nt
Filed under: Mus pahari (shrew mouse)
Lineage: Eukaryota; Metazoa; Chordata; Mammalia; Rodentia; Muridae
Description: lncRNA (MGP_PahariEiJ_G0002518.1)
Source: RNAcentral
UGCCCUGAGAGUCAGGGGCAAGGGGUGGAGAGAGCAGUCACCCAUCUACUGAAGAUUGCCAAGCCCACUUCUUCAGACCAAGGCUGCAGGGGACAGGCGCAGUUAGGCAGGUCUCCCCAAAUCAUGAUCAUACAUUCCUUUUUUCUGCUUAAAAGCUGAUGUAGCUGUGCCAGGGAGCAGCAGGCCAGGUCAGUGGGAGAUGACGCUGGUUUCCAGGAAACUACAUGAAAUUUGGUGAGAGAUGAAGAAACUGAGUCGCUGAGAUCUGUUGGUUCGAUGGAAAACUACGGUCGUCCAAAUGCUGCGCCUGAGCAGAGGCUGGAGAGGGUGGGAAGAGGCUGUGGGAAUGGAAGCAUCCGUGGGUGUUCCUCUCUCUUGAAAGAGCAGCCAGUCGCCCACGUCGGAAAGAGAUGUGUGUCUCUUCCCUGAUCAUCCUUUGCAGAAGAGGUGGCCAUGAGGCUUAGCAAGACAGGGUGGACACUGUGGCUCACUGUGGCUCUACGGUGGGUGCCUGU